Molecule: long non-coding RNA, 1517 nt
Organism: Lathyrus oleraceus (garden pea)
Lineage: Eukaryota; Viridiplantae; Streptophyta; Magnoliopsida; Fabales; Fabaceae
Exons: 2
Source: RefSeq, a predicted model, not a curated record
CCAUAGGCCAAGGCCUAUUGGCCUUCAGCAAUGGUCAGGGGUGCAGGAAGAAACUCUAGUAGUGUGAAAAGGAAAUAGGCAUUUGGGCCCAAGAGGAAAGGGCCCAAACCGAAUCUGAGUGAAAGGGGGAGUUUGAAUCCAACUCAGAACUUCCCUCCACAUUCAAAGUUGAGACACAUUCAAAAAGAAUAUUUUUCCGCUUCGCCGUGCUGGAGCUCAUCGUCAGCGGCGUCGAAGCUCCAGAGCUGAAAUCAUAAACCUCAAACUCUUCGUCUCAACUUGCUGAAGCCGAACCCCCUAACCCAAAAUAUAUGAUUCUUAAAUAAAAGAAUGAAUCAAAAAAGAAAACAAAAGGAGCCCUAAAGUUGUAAACAAAAAUUAAAUGGUGGUGGUGCAUGAACCCAAGUAAUUGAUUGAUGGUUAAUGACCUCCGAAGUAUGCUCUUCCUUCUGGUAACUUUGGUUUGAAGAAUGGAUGAGUUCAAAGUAUUGCUUCGCCGGAGAAUAAUACUGAAGCAACGAUGGCAACAAAUGUUUCAGGGUUUGAAUGCAGGUUGCCAUGGCCUUGGAUUUGUGAAAUUGCUGCUGAUGUUGCAUGGGGUUUGUUGUUUGCUGCAGAUUUAGGUGAUGAUGCAUUUGGUGUUUGAGGUUUUGGCUAAGUGAUUGUAGUAGGAUGUGGCAAUAUGUGGAUUACAAUUGGAUAUGGCAAUGUGAGGAAGUUGCAGGUCUGUUGUAGGGUGUUUUUAACAUGGUUGUUUGUGGUAAGUUGCCUGCUGGAGUUGUUGUUGUAGUAUGUUGCAGAAUUAUAUGCAUUGCAGGCUAAUGUGUUCUUGAUGCAGGCUUAGAAUUGCAUUGAAUGGCCUUGCUGCAGGAUUGUUUGACAUGGUUACUUGCAUUGGCUUGUCAUGGCCUGAUGUAUGAUGAUGCUUUGCUGCAAGUAUGGAUUGCAGGUUGUGUUGUGUUUGUGUUGAUGACUGAGUCUGCUAUGGAAGGAUCAUGGUUUGUAUUGGAUUUGAAGGUUUGCAUUGUUGUUGACAUUGUUGAAUAGUAAACUGGUAGGUUUUGCAAAGGAAUGCCACAUGCUUGGUUUGAUGGGCCAUUUGUAGGACUGAUGUUGUGCUGAUGUAGGCCUGCUGCAGGUGGCUUAUGGAAGGAUGGAAUUGUUGGUCAUGUGGUGUGCACUGCAUUUUUGCCGCAGGUUUGUAGCAGGAUGUUUGGAACUUGUUGAGCCAAUGAUGCUAUGCUUGAUUUGCCUUCAAUUAAUCAUGGUCAAAUGGAAGUGGAUGGAACAUGGAAGAUCAAGAAACAAAUGGAUGGAGCAUGGAACAUGAAAUGUGCUACCAAGAUUUUUUCUCCUUUGUUCACCUUGAUUCAUAUGUGAUGUAUGGAUUGUAAUGCUAGGUAUAUUUAGGCCAAGGCUUUUGUAAUGAAAUGAUGCAAUGCUUGUAUGAACUUAUGCUUAACUUGUAACGCAAGCAAGGUUUCAAAUUGAAUCAAAAAUUCAAACAUUAUCUUUUC